Molecule: ribosomal RNA, 398 nt
Filed under: uncultured bacterium
Lineage: Bacteria
Description: partial 16S ribosomal RNA
Rfam family: Bacterial small subunit ribosomal RNA
Source: RNAcentral
AUACGUAGGGUGCGAGCGUUGUCCGGAAUUACUGGGCGUAAAGAGCUCGUAGGUGGUUUGUCGCGUCGUCUGUGAAAUUCCGGGGCUUAACUCCGGGCGUGCAGGCGAUACGGGCAUAACUUGAGUACUGUAGGGGAGACUGGAAUUCCUGGUGUAGCGGUGAAAUGCGCAGAUAUCAGGAGGAACACCGGUGGCGAAGGGGGGUCUCUGGGCAGUAACUGACGCUGAGGAGCGAAAGCAUGGGUAGCGAACAGGAUUAGAUACCCUGGUAGUCCAUGCCGUAAACGGUGGGCGCUAGGUGUAGGGGUCUUCCACGACUUCUGUGCCGUAGCUAACGCAUUAAGCGCCCCGCCUGGGGAGUACGGCCGCAAGGCUAAAACUCAAAGGAAUCGACGGGG